Molecule: long non-coding RNA, 750 nt
Filed under: Setaria italica (foxtail millet)
Lineage: Eukaryota; Viridiplantae; Streptophyta; Magnoliopsida; Poales; Poaceae
Description: long non-coding RNA (SITA_LNC000613)
Source: RNAcentral
GCCACUCGAGUUUGGGUUUGAGAUUUGAGGAGCAAAGAAAGUGCGAUCCAUUUUUGCUUGAACCCGAUUGCAAACGGUCACAUGAUCACCUCUCUUAGAUCGUGCGUGGAAAUAUGGAAUAAAUUCUGAUCCGCCUCCGCAUGUAACAACCAACAACACCGGACCGGACCGAGUGGCCACCGAUGACGAGCCUCAAGCUCGAGCACUGCGAGCUGACCCCGAACAGGGUGCUGCGCUCGGCGAUCCUCGAGUGGCAACAGCAACAGCUACUUCAGCUGCAGCACCGGACAUGACCAUUUUCUGAACCGGAAUGCAGCUGCACGUCAUUGGAAACUUUAUCUAACUGUAAAUUGUGCGUGUAGUUUAGAGCUAUAGAAUUCAGACUGACAUUUUAGGGGAAAAACUUUGUUCAAAUGAAGAAAGAAAAAUAAACGGGUGAAUUUAGUGCUGUGGAAAUGGCAUAAGGCGCACCAUUUUAAUCGAAGUCGAUUGAAAAUUCGGCGUACCUCGCGGGAGGAACCAGAUCCACCUCCAUGUGCAACAGUACUGGACGGGGGCGAGUGGAGAGCACGAGGGGUGACGGCGGAGGCGACCACGUAGAAGAAGGCAGCGGUGGGAAGCGGGCAAGCGGCAAGCCGGAGCAGCGGCUCAGUGCAGUCCGGAGUGCGGCACCGCAAGGUCUGGGCGAGGGCGACCGCGGCGGCCGCCGCCCGCCGGUUGCCACUUGCCAGCCGUCCGAGUGGUGGGCGG